Molecule: long non-coding RNA, 3278 nt
Filed under: Mus caroli (Ryukyu mouse)
Lineage: Eukaryota; Metazoa; Chordata; Mammalia; Rodentia; Muridae
Description: lncRNA (MGP_CAROLIEiJ_G0004801.1)
Source: RNAcentral
AGAGUUCUCCAGAUCCUCCAAGCGCCUUCGGCGCCACCACACCAGACACUCACUGUUCACGAGGCCUCAAAGCGUGGAGGCGGUGGCCGAUUCCCCGGUGACCGCCAAUUUGGUCCCAAGACACUUCAGGAUCUCCCAACCGAUGGAGGACAGAGAGGUUCCAAGAGAGGGCGCCAAAGGCGACGCGCUGGCGGCCAGCUCCAAGCCAACCAGACCCAUUGCGUCCGUCUGCAGGAACCUGUCUCUUCACCCUGCUUUGGACACUGAGCUUCAGAGGAUCUGGCUGCGUGCUGAAUCAACGCCAGGGCGCCGCCUAGAGGUCGGUCGCGUCCUCGGUCUCGCUCACCGACCACAGAGCUGCUUGUCCAAGCCACAGUGUCAGACUUAAACAAAACAAAACAAAAUUCCUGCUUGGGUCAGAGACUUGGUUUCUGGGACCGUUGACUUAUCAGAAACUUGCCUCCUCUCUGCUUCAUAAUGAACCCCAGGAAGAGAGAGGGACCAGGGAUCUCAAAGAAAUAUUUGUCUUUGUGACACCGACUAGGUGGAAGAAAAGUCUCAACAUGUCAGUUUCUUUUAAGGAUCUUAGAUUCUGGGUCUAGGUCUGCGCUAGUUCGUCUCACUACCCAGAUUGCUCAGCCUAAGCUCCUUCUCCAGUCUGUGCCAGGAUGAUGCUUUAACUUCACGAAGAAAGGGGCUAUGGAAAAGUUACCCUUUUCUCUUAUAGAUCCAUCACGAGGUUUCUAGAUAAUUUGGAGAUGGACCUGUUCUGGAAAAGAAUUUGGAAAACAUCUGGGUGUGUGUGUGCAGUGAUAGGAAAAAAUUGCCCAAAUAGCCUUUACUUACUAAGUAACCUCCCACCGGUGUCCCAGCAAUAGUCAAGGGGGUACUUGGAGACACCAGUAGCCCUGCCCAGGGAAGUUUGUGCUGAGCCUUUGAAAGCUGAUUUUUGAGAUAAGGAUGACCUUGGAAGGAAACAGUUUGGCAUCCGACCAACUGGGUUGAGGUGUCCUUAAAGUUCAUGCAAGCUUCUUUUUUGAGACUGAGAUCAAAUGCCUGAGUUGUGGAGCUGCAGAGCCUCCGAGAACACGCGCUCCGAGAACGCGAGUGUGUAUGCACACAAGGUUGCUGAGCUAAGGGUGUAGCCUCUUCCAGUUUUCCAAGGAGCCCCUGUCUCCAGUCAUGGAGCUACAGAGACCAGGCCAGCAGUGGGCUGGGAGCCAGCACACUGAUCUUGAGCCAUGGCUGUCCCUGACCAGGCAACUCUAUUGGAGAUAGAAAAAGAAUAGUUUUGAGUAGCUGAGGACCACUCUGUCCUUCUUCCUCCCUCUCCUAUAUCUUCUAGAGGAAAAUGCUAAUAGAAGGUGUCACUGUGUCACCACAGUGUUUCCAAUAGAAGUGGAUAAUGAUGAAGGCCAAAGGAGGGAGCACACAGUGAGGAUACAUGAUGGGCAGAGCUGGAGGGGCUCCCCCAUGUCAUUUUGGGAAAUAAAUAUUCUGUAGGCAUAAGGUACUUCCUGUCACAGGUGCUCUUCCCUCUUGGUGCCAGGUCCUCCCACAGGGUGGACUAAGACACUACUGCUCACCCCUAGCCAAUCUUUGGCAGAAUGAGACUGCCAAUUCAGCUUUUUUUUUUUUUUUAAUAGGAGACACCUUGGUAUUUUCUGAGACCCCUUUAAAAAAUCUAUCUGUAUUUUUUUAAUCUCCAGAGGAGGGAGACUUGGCAACACUUCCUGGAGGGAGGGAUGAGUUGGCUAGGUUGACACUGCACCUGUGUGUCUGUGGGGCAAGGGACCCCUCCUGGGUCUGCAGCUGAGCCUCAGCCCAGUACCUGAGCUGAGCCUGAGAUUAUCUCAGCCUUUUGGGUGUAUUUUAGACCUGAAGCUUUGGAGCUUGGUGAUGAAUAAUUGGGGUGCAGGGAAUCCCUUUGCUGUCCCCCUAAAUCGCAUAAUCAUGUACUUCCUUCGAGUACACAAAGAGGGUCAGAAGCCACUAUCAUGGCUCCUGGUUCUCUGGAGUCCCCGGAGAAAGAGAAUUUUUUUUUUCUAUUAGUUUUGCGCUGCAGUGCUCUGGUAGAACAAAUCCGGAUUCCACGAAACUGUGGAGGGGGUGGGGGAGCAAACUGCCCAUGACUGAAGGCAGUGGCAACUUGAGGUCCACUGGUUGCUUUGAUUUGGUUUUGAAGCUUGUAAAAGAAAGGGAGAGAAGCAAGCAGUGAGACUCGGGGACAAGGAACGCCACUGUGCUGUCAUUUGUGCUUUGUACGCGGGACAAGGAGAUCCCCGCAGGGUUCACCUCUGGAGCGGCUCACUGCUCAGCCCCCUUCAAGCCCUGAGAGUUUUCCAAGUCUUAUCCCCUGUCCUAUUUUAACAAGUACCUGGCAAUAAACGGGUGGGGCAGGACAAAGGUCUGGAAGCCGGAGAGCAGCGGAAAACCCUAAACCCCCGCAACAAGCAGAUAGCACAUCAGCUGGGCUUGUAGCGAGGAGUGCAGGGCUCCCAGCUCUACCUAGCAGGCUGCUAGGAGCCCCCCCCCCCGCAACUAGAGUCCUUGGUUGGGUUCUGGGUUCUAGGGGCCCAGGUUAGGUGUCCACAGGCUUCUAGUCCUGGCCACGGAGCUAGAGAGAAAGGCACCGAGACCCGGGAGACUUCUCUCCACGCGGGCAGAGUCUGCAAGCUCUAGCCUCGUAAAUUGUUCUCCUUGCCUUAUACCCGCCCGGGUCGUGUUUCUUUUCAGGACAAGAGGGGAUAUAAACUGUUUGAAGUUCAUCAGCACGGUGAAGUUUUAUUGUAUUUCCGGUCCCUAAGAUUUACACCCUGAAAAGAGAAGCCGGCAGCCUGGCAGACUCCCUCCAUACCUCCGAGUUUCCACGCCAGAGACACACAGUGGCCAAGCGGACACUUUGCUUUCCGGGAGCAGGGAGGGAGGGAGCCGGCUCCGACCGACUCUCCCUCAAAGGCUCAGGUAAGUCUAAGAGGCCUCUGAUAGUUGUGGUGACUGAGCCACAACCUGUGAGGAUGUGCGAAGUGACUUUGUAGGGAUGGAAGAGAGCGGGAGACAAGGAUGUACUCAGACUAGAGAAAGCAAACUUGUUCUCUGCCUUUCCCCAGCCAGGUCCCCCAACAUCUCCACUUCUUUGUAAAUGCGGAAAAGAGUGGCCUACCUGGGGCUGUCCAGCAGCUGUGAAACCAGAGUCCUAUCGUAUGUCAGCAGCAGAGUGACUGUUUCAGCUUUAUUGUUUGUGCUCUAGAAUUCAAGGUGCCUUCUAACCCUGACUU